UGCGUAGGCGGAGAUUUAAGUCGGAUGUGAAAGCCCCGGGCUCAACCUGGGAACUGCAUUCGAUACUGGAUCUCUAGAGUAUGGUAGAGGGAAGUGGAAUUUCCGGUGUAGCGGUGAAAUGCGUAGAUAUCGGAAAGAACAUCAGUGGCGAAGGCGACUUCCUGGACCAAUACUGACGCUAAGGUACGAAAGCGUGGGGAGCAAACA
Molecule: ribosomal RNA, 207 nt
Filed under: uncultured bacterium
Lineage: Bacteria
Description: partial 16S ribosomal RNA
Rfam family: Bacterial small subunit ribosomal RNA
Source: RNAcentral